Molecule: ribosomal RNA, 464 nt
Filed under: uncultured bacterium
Lineage: Bacteria
Description: partial 16S ribosomal RNA
Rfam family: Bacterial small subunit ribosomal RNA
Source: RNAcentral
GACGAACGCUGGCGGCGUGCCUAACACAUGCAAGUCGAGCGAAUGAAGUUCCUUCGGGAAUGGAUUUAGCGGCGGACGGGUGAGUAACACGUGGGCAACCUGCCUCAUAGAGGGGAAUAGCCUCCCGAAAGGGAGAUUAAUACCGCAUAAGAUUGUAGUACCGCAUGAUACAGCAAUUAAAGGAGCAAUCCGCUAUGAGAUGGGCCCGCGGCGCAUUAGCUAGUUGGUGAGGUAAUGGCUCACCAAGGCGACGAUGCGUAGCCGACCUGAGAGGGUGAUCGGCCACAUUGGGACUGAGACACGGCCCAGACUCCUACGGGAGGCAGCAGUGGGGAAUAUUGCACAAUUGGGGAAACCCUGAUGCAGCAACGCCGCGUGAGUGAUGACGGCCUUCGGGUUGUAAAGCUCUGUCUUCAGGGACGAUAAUGACGGUACCUGAGGAGGAAGCCACGGCUAACUACGUG